Odobenus rosmarus divergens (Pacific walrus) is the source of this 3205-nucleotide RNA transcript. RefSeq lists it as uncharacterized. NCBI's taxonomy places the organism in Eukaryota, Metazoa, Chordata, Mammalia, Carnivora, Odobenidae. The transcript is spliced from 16 exons. The record is from RefSeq and is a predicted model, not a curated record.
AUGCUGCCCUGUGUACCCGAACCUCACUCCUCGUCACUGCUGAGUGGUGUUCCUGCAUGUGGACACACCACUAUCGGCUCCCCCAUCAUGGACGUACAUCUGAGUGAUGUCCGGUUUGGGGCUAUCGCCAAUACAGCUGCCAUCAACAUUCGUGUGGACACGUGCUUUCGAUUUAUGAAUGAGAUGGGUAGACAGGCGUGGGGCUCGCUCUCACGCACCCAAACGUGCAAGGACGGGGCAGCCGUGGCGUCCAGGUGCCCCUCGAGGGCAGCCCAGAGGGAGCCCCGGCCCAGUGAGCAGUCGGUCCCUCCCCGCUUCCCCGGCCCCCGGCCACCUACCGGUGCUCUGCGGUCUGACCGCACGCACCUGUCCUGGACAUCUCACACAGCGGCGGCUUUUGAAAAAGCACUGAGGCAAAGCAAGAAAGGACAGUGCUGGGUGACCCACGGCUGCCCUCACGACUUCAUUUCCCCCGAGGAGCAGGAGAAACGAGAGAACCUGGAGGAGGGGGCUGGCGGGGGUGCGGGGGGCAAGUCUGGCAGCGGGGAGGCUGGGAGGCAGCAGGGGCACAUCCCUGCCGCGCUGACCUUCACUGGCCCAGGAAGGGCCAGCGCGGGCCCCAAACCGUUGUGCACCUCUGCCCGAGGCCGGGUCUGGCCUCUCGCCCCCCCGCCCACGCAGCAGCCUGCAUUUCAGGUCACCUCCCUGCUUAAACCCAGCAAGGCCGCCCAGAGCCUGCGACCGGGGCCCGCUGAGGCGAACAGAAAACCCAAACAAGGCAACAGAAGCAAGACGCCCCACCCCAGCCCCACCCCUCCCGCGCUGGCUGUAGGAGACCACGCGGUCGGCCUGUCCCGGGUUCUCAGGGCCCGCUGCUGUACGAGGAUUCCUCCCCGGCGUGUGUUUCAGCACGUUUCGGGGGGAGGGCCCAAGAAUCUGCACCCGUGGUCCCUGGGCCACACCUCAGAGGAGGCUCUGAAUGCUCCUGUGGCGAGGGUGAACUGGAAAUCGCUUGGAACCAACCCGGACGCCUUCAUGUCUGGAAAGCCCAUCACGAGGCGCUCGUCUGGCCUCCUGGCCCUGGCUCUGGCCACCCUCCUGGCUGCAGGGGCAGGGGCUCCGCUCGGCAGGAAGGCCUCCCGGAAUAAGCUGCUGCUGGUGUCCUUUGACGGUUUCCGCUGGAACUAUGACCAGGACACACAAACCCCCAACCUGGAUGCCAUGGCGCUCGACGGAGUGAAGGCCCGCUACAUGACGCCGGCCUUUGUCACCAUGACCAGCCCCUGCCACUUCACCCUGGUCACUGGCAAAUACAUCGAGAACCACGGAGUGGUUCACAACAUGUACUACAAUACCACCAGCAAGGUGAAGCUGCCCUACCAUGCCACGCUGGGCAUCCAGAUGUGGUGGGACAAUGGCAGCAUACCCAUCUGGAUCACAGCCCAACGACAGGGCUUAAAGACUGGCUCCUUCUUCUACCCUGGCGGGAACGUCACCUACCAAGGCACAGCGGUGACACUGAGCCGGAAGGAAGGCGUUCUGCACAACUACAAAAAUGAGACGCGGUGGAGGGCCGACAUCGACACGGUGAUGAAGUGGUUCACUGAAGACGGCCUGGACCUGGUCACACUCUACUUUGGGGAGCCAGACUCCACGGGCCACAAGUAUGGCCCCGAGUCCCAGCAGAGGAAGGAGAUGGUGAUGCAGGUGGACAGGACAGUGGGCUACCUUCGGGAGAGCAUCAGCAGGAGCGGCCUGGAGGGCAGCCUCAACCUGAUCAUCACGUCCGACCACGGCAUGACCACCGUCAAAAAGCAGGCCCCGGACCUGGUGGAAUUCCAUAAGUUCCCCAACUUCACCUUCAAGGACAUCGAGUUUGAGCUCCUGGACUAUGGGCCCAACGGGAUGCUGCUCCCCAAGGAAGGGAUGUUGGAGAAGGUGUAUGAGGUCCUCAAGAAUGCCCACCCCAAACUCCACGUCUACAAGAAGGAGUCCUUCCCUACAUCCCUCCACUACGCCAACAACCCCAGGAUCACCCCGCUGCUCAUGUACAGUGACCCUGGCUACGUCAUCCAUGGGAGACUGAGCGUGCAGUUCAACAAGGGUGAGCACGGUUUUCACAACGACGUCAUGGACAUGAAGACCAUCUUCCGGGCCGUGGGCCCCAGCUUCAAGACGGGCCUGGAGGUGGAGCCCUUCGAGAGCAUCCACGUGUACGAGCUCAUGUGCCAUCUGCUGGGCAUCGUGCCCGAGGCCAACGACGGGCUCCUGAGCACCCUGCUGCCCAUGCUCCAGGAAACCAACAGCAGGCCCCCGAGCACCCCCUCAGGCAGCGGAGGGCACGUGCGAGCCCCCGAGGUGGGCCUGGCCCUCGUGUCUGUGGACGAGAAGGGAGGCCCGUGCUUGGAGGCUGCCAACAUACACUCCUUCUUCCAGGCCUGCCUCUUCCAGGAAGCCUCCAGAAGCUACCCUCUCACGGCGCCCCGCCCCAAGAGCCGUGCCAUCCGCGGCCACGCGGGGGCGCGCGGGAGCCCCGCGCGGGAAGCUCCAGCGGGGGGCUCAGGGCAGGCGGCGGGUACGCUUUGCCUCGUCGAGCCGCACGCCUCCGCCCUGAUGCCCGCCCCGCCUGGCUGGCCGGCUGCAGCUCCGGUGGGGAUGAAGGACAGCCUGGUCGCUGCAGUCACAGGGGCCAGCUCGGACGCAGGCACACAGAUCUUUGAGAAGACCCUGACGGGCAAGACCAUCACCCUUGAGGUGGAGCCCACUGACACCAUUGAGAAUGUCAAAGCCAACAUCCAGGACAAGGAGGGCAUCCUGCCUGACCAGCUGCAUCUAAUUUCUGUGGGCGAACAGCUGGAAGUUGGUGGCACUGUCCGACCACAAUAUCCAGACAGAGUCCACCCUGCACUUGGUGCUUCAUCUGCAGGCUGGCAUUAUCAUCGAGCCUUCCCUCCGCCCACUGGCCCAGAAAUACAACUGCGACCAGAUGAUCCGCGGCAAGUGUUUUGCUCGCUGGCAUCCCCCGGGCUGUCAACUGCGCCACACCAACAACCCGCGCCCCAAAGAGUCCUACACCCUGUCCUACGCUCUGUCCUACGCCCUGUCCUACGCUCUGUCCUACGCCCUGUCCUACGCCCUGUCCUACGCUCUGUCCUACGCUCUGACAUUCCUUUACUACACCCUACUCUUGGCCUCUGCUCUUUGA